AUUGAACGCUGGCGGCAGGCCUAACACAUGCAAGUCGAGCGGAUGAAGGGAGCUUGCUCCUGGAUUCAGCGGCGGACGGGUGAGUAAUGCCUAGGAAUCUGCCUGGUAGUGGGGAUAACGUCCGGAAACGGGCGCUAAUACCGCAUACGUCCUGAGGGAGAAAGUGGGGGAUCUUCGGACCUCACGCUAUCAGAUGAGCCUAGGUCGGAUUAGCUAGUUGGUGGGGUAAAGGCCUACCAAGGCGACGAUCCGUAACUGGUCUGAGAAGAUGAUCAGUCACACUGGAACUGAGACACGGUCCAGACUCCUACGGGAGGCAGCAGUGGGGAAUAUUGGACAAUGGGCGAAAGCCUGAUCCAGCCAUGCCGCGUGUGUGAAGAAGGUCUUCGGAUUGUAAAGCACUUUAAGUUGGGAGGAAGGGCAGUAAGUUAAUACCUUGCUGUUUUGACGUUACCAACAGAAUAAGCACCGGCUAACUUCGUG
RNAcentral lists this ribosomal RNA (483 nucleotides) under uncultured bacterium. RNAcentral describes it as "partial 16S ribosomal RNA". It matches the Rfam family "Bacterial small subunit ribosomal RNA", at positions 30 to 507 of the family's 1533-position model. The record is from RNAcentral.